This is a long non-coding RNA of Cornus florida, 1739 nucleotides long. RefSeq lists it as uncharacterized. Lineage: Eukaryota; Viridiplantae; Streptophyta; Magnoliopsida; Cornales; Cornaceae. The transcript is spliced from 3 exons. The record is from RefSeq and is a predicted model, not a curated record.
CUUAAAAAAAAAAAAAAAAAAAAAAAGAACCUUGUUAAUAUUUUUACUUAGACCGAGUUAGCUUUUGCGUAGAUUGUAAGCCACUCUUACUCUGUGGAUUUUAUAUAUAUUUUGCUCUCACUCUGAAACAGAAAAGGAAUAUGGUUGUACAACUGAGACAGAAAUUUCAGAGUCUCUUUUUCCUGUUCCCAUCACAAGAAAUGCACCUUCCCAACACAAAAAAUGUACCCAGUUACAAAAAUAUGUACCAGUUCGUCUCAAAACCGAUUCCAACACCUAAUACUCACCACUCUCUCCUCCUCAUCAGAAGGCUCUCUCAUUCUGCCACUGUUUAUGCAUCUUUUCCUUGAUCAAUCAACCCACCACUCUCUUCUCUCUCUCUCUAAGCCAUUGUUCAUGUAGAGGCAGAUUUGUAUCUAGCACCUCAAAUUCAUGCAGCAAUCAAAAGACUCAGUUCCCUUUUCUAUCUACGUUUAAUGAGGCACACAAUGGGCUUCCUGCCUUCCAAGAUGCAAUGCCAAAAAAACAGCUUGAUACACCAGUUAGGCAUGUGGUUGAGGUAAGAGUUGUUCUUCAUGAUUGUAUGGCAUAUAAUUUCUUUGGGUUAGGAAAUUCUCAAAUAUCAGAUAUUUACUACUUGUCUACUUUGAUAAUGCACAUUCAUUCAUCUCAUUUUUAUAACCACUUUUCCGACAGCCUUGAGUCAUUCAUCUCAUUUUUAUUUCAUCUCAUCAAAACACUCUCGUUACUUCAAAAGGUAUUAAAUCAAAACUCUCAUUUUGAUUAAAAAUUUAACACUUUUUAUAUAAAAAAAAAACUCUUGUAGGUCAUUUUGAAUUCAAAACACUAAUUUUCACUCGAAGUUUGUAAGUUUUUACAUCAAAACACUAUAUUUCCUUUGAAGGUACCUUGAAUAAGAUCAUUUUUAACCAAAAACACUCGUUUUCACUCAAAGAUUCUAACUUUUUAUAUGAACACACUCUCGUCCUACAAAGGUAUCUUGAAUAUGGUUAUUUUUAACUCAAAUCUCUCAUUUUCACUCCUAGUUUAUUACUUUUACAUCAAAACACUCUUGUUUCUAUAAAGGUACCUUGAAUAAAAUCAUUUUUAACUCAAAACUCUCAUUUUCACUAUAAGUUUCUAACUUGUUACAUUAAAACACUUUAGACACUUCAAAAGGUACUUUGAAUAAGGUCAUUUUUUUUUUUUUUUUUUUUUGAUAAGUUGAAUAAGGUCAUUUUUAUCUCAAAACUCACUUUCAUCCAAAGUUUCGAACUUUUUACUUUAACACUCUUGUUCUUUUAAACGUACCUUGAAUAAGGUAUUUUUAACCUUAAAUUCUCACUUUCACUUAAAAUUUCUAACGUUUUACAUCAAAACACUAUGGUUUCAUUUUAAUAAGGUCAUUUUAAACUUAAAACUUUCAUUUUCACUCAAAGUGUGUCUCUUUUUUACAUGAAACCAAUCAUUCCUUCAAAAGGUACCUUGAAUAAGGUAAUUUUUAACUCAAAAGUCUCGAUUUUACUCAAAGUUCCUCUCUUUUAAAAUCAAAACAUUCUCUUUCCAUCCAAUGUACCUUGGAUAAGGUCAUUUUUAACCUAAGAAGCACGGACACGGAUACGGAACACGGAUACGACACGACACGGACACGGCGACACGGCAAAUCCAAAAAAAUUAGGACACGGACACGGCGAAUAGUGUAUAUAUAUAUAUAUAUAUAUAUAUAUAUAUAUAUAUAU